AUAGUUUCUCUCUCCUCACAACUCUAUAAUCUUCCAUUUUCUUUGAGGUUCCGACUUCUCUACCCAAAAUUAGGUAUAGUUUUCAAUAUCAAGCUGCAAUUGCACUCGAAUAUUUCCCCAAAUUGAAUUACUAAUGAUUCGUAGUAAUUUAUAAAUGCAAUUUUGGAGUUCGCCAAAGAUUUCAAGCAAAUUCGAUGGUGCUUAUGCGAUUCUCAUAUUCUACACCAUUCUGCAAAAUCGAUAUGGAAAUCAGGUUUCUGAGAGCAACUAUGUGGAUUUCUUCAACAACCAGAGAUUUGAAAGCUGCCGCUUGGCGAAUUAGCUAGCAAAACUUUUACCGAGGAAAGCGAGGAAGAAUUGCAUAUAAACCUCACAAACAGUCUGCUUAUCAUUCGCUCAAACAUCCUGCAGUUUGAUAUUUUCCUUUCUGUAAGGUUUUGUGUAAAGUUUUGUGCUUAUCGUCUGCAACUCUAUGGUCCUAGGAACUAGAAAGAAAUACGGGAAAUCGAUAUCAUCUAUGAUUUAAAUUGACUUUUCAGUUAGUUCCAUUUACUUUUGUGACUUAUUUAUCUACUUUU
Spinacia oleracea (spinach) is the source of this 578-nucleotide long non-coding RNA. RefSeq lists it as uncharacterized. Lineage: Eukaryota; Viridiplantae; Streptophyta; Magnoliopsida; Caryophyllales; Amaranthaceae. The record is from RefSeq and is a predicted model, not a curated record. The transcript is spliced from 3 exons.